Molecule: long non-coding RNA, 1093 nt
Filed under: Homo sapiens (human)
Lineage: Eukaryota; Metazoa; Chordata; Mammalia; Primates; Hominidae
Description: non-protein coding lnc-ALPK2-2:8
Source: RNAcentral
AAACCCAGCCCUCCCGAGCAGGAAAGGACGGGUGGGUGCAGCUGGAGGAGGAAGCGGUGGAGGAAUUACGCCCCGGCAGCUCCUCUACGGCGGGGAAGCCUGCGGCGUCUGGGCUUCCUGAGACCGUGGGAGGAGGCCUGCGUACUCACGCCAGAGAGCGGGGCAAGCGGUUCUCAGUCGCCGGCUCCCGCCCGCAGUCCCCGGCGAGCGCUCUCCCCUGACUCAGGGACUUUCAUGUGCCCGGCGACACACCAGCAUCCUGCAGUGGGCAACCUCAGCGGACGCUUCCUCGUUUUAGGGAAUCAUCUGGUUUACACCGCGUCAGACUGCCGCCCGCAAUCUCCGUCAUCAAAGCAGGCAACCCUGUAGAGGAUGCCUUUCCCUGGAAUGAUCCGGAAUGGACGACACCUGAGCUCUCUCUGCCAAUCUUAGCAACAUCCAAGGCCAUUAUCCCUUUGAAAACUAUGGCUUCGUUUGGGACAAAAAGGAAGUAACUUACGAAAUGUGACCAGUCAGGUAGUUCCCUACACGAGGCUUCCUGGCCCAAUUUCUGUUGCCAUUAGCUUUUCAUCACCCAAGGCCGCAGGAUUUUCUGACCAGUAAUUUGGAUACCUAUAUUCUUAUACAUGUUGGCGAGGUAGGUGCGCCAUACAGUCUCCACCACAUUCUAGCACAAGCAGUCAUUAAACUUCACUCUAGCAUAAGUUAAGAAUUCAGACUGCAGUGAGAUGGCUAAGAGCAUGAAAGAUCUGCUCGAUUCAAGUGUUAGGAGCUUGAAUAAGUUUCUUAAUUUCUCUGCCUCAUCUAUUAACACAGGACUGACAAUACAGUUUAUAUAGAGUUGUUGCCAGAAUUAAAGGAGUUGAUGUAUGUGAAGCACUUAACUCGGUAACUGGCACAUCGUAGAUGACUCAGUAAAUGCUAUUACCCUUACACAUACAAGUGCCGUUUCAUACUCAGUUUGACUUGGCAAGCCUUUCCCAACCGCUUCAGGUGCCUUCCUGUUUUGUCCUCAAUUACUGUACAAAUAUUUUCUGAGGAUCUGUUACCUGCAUGUGCCAAUUAUGGAAAUAAAAUCUUCUAGUCUUUACUG